UUCCGGUUGAUCCUGCCGGAGGCUACCGCUAUUGGAGUUCGAUUAAGCCAUGCGAGUCGCGAGAAAUUAGAUUCUCGGCGUACCGCUCAGUAACACGUGGGUAACCUGCCCUAUGCUGGAUAAUAACCUCGGGAAACUGAGAAUAAUGAUCCAUAGUUCACUACGCCUGGAACGGUGAGUGGAUGAAAGCCCCGGCGGCAUAGGAUGGGCCUGCGGCGUAUCAGGUUGUAGGGGGUGUAACGUACCCUCUAGCCCUCUACGCGUACGGGUGUUGGGAGACAUAGCCCGGAGAUGGAUUCUGAGACACGAAUCCAGACCCUACGGGGUGCAGCAGGCGCGAAAACUUGGCAAUGCGAGAAAUCGUGACCAGGGAACUCCAAGUGCAUCGGGUAAGACCGGUGCUUUUCUUGACUCUAAAUAGGUCUUGGAAUAAGGGGUGGGCAAGGACGGUGCCAGCCGCCGCGGUAAUACCGGCGCCUCAAGUGGUAGUCGCUUUUAUUGGGCCUAAAACGUCCGUAGCCGGUCUGAUACAUUCGUGGGUAAAUCAACCAGCUCAACUGGUUGAAUUCUGCGAGGACGGUCAGACUUGGGACCGGGAGAGGUGUGGGGUACGCUCAGGGUAGGGGUAAAAUCCUGUCAUCCUGAGCGGACCACCUGUUGCGAAGGCGCCACACUAGAACGGAUCCGACGGUCAGGGACGAAGCCUAGGGGCACGAACCGGAUUAGAUACCCGGGUAGUCCUAGGUGUAAACGCUGUGGACUUGAUGUUGGGGGUGCUCCGAGCACUCUCAGUGUCGAAGCGAAGGUGAUAAGUCCACUGCCUGGGAAGUACGGUCGCAAGGCUGAAACUUAAAGGAAUUGGCGGGGGAGCACCGCAACCUGAGGAUUGUGCGGUUUAAUUGGAUCAACGCCGGA
This 915-nucleotide ribosomal RNA is filed under the name uncultured archaeon. RNAcentral's name for it is "bacterial SSU rRNA". It matches the Rfam family "Archaeal small subunit ribosomal RNA", at positions 1 to 922 of the family's 1478-position model. The record is from RNAcentral.